RNAcentral lists this long non-coding RNA (367 nucleotides) under Capsicum annuum. Its description in RNAcentral is "long non-coding RNA (CANN_LNC020811)". Lineage: Eukaryota; Viridiplantae; Streptophyta; Magnoliopsida; Solanales; Solanaceae. The record is from RNAcentral.
UGGCAUGUCAGUAUUCUUUUGAAUUUAUGAUCAUAUUAUCCAGUACUCACAACAGGUACCAGCUCAUGGGUUAUCUAGUGGUCCCUCAUGACCGUAAGCACCAUGUAACGCCCAGGGUGUGCUCUCGGGGCAUUACAAACUUGGUAUUAGAUCCUAAGGUUUUAAAGUGUCCUAAGAAGUCUAAAAACCAUGUCAAGUAGAGUCUUGUGCAUAGGUGUGUACCGCUCCACACUUAUAGGUAGGAGGCUACAAGGUAUUUUGGAAAAGUUUCCCUUCUUUCAGUAUUCAUGUCAUGCGAGUAAUCAUGAGCUCAAUUUAAAAUCCCUAUCUAAUCCAUUUAUUCUUUUCGUGUAUAGAACAUUCCUCC